GCGGGUGUAGUUCAACGGUAGAACAUCAGCCUUCCAAGCUGAUCGUGAGAGUUCGAUUCUCUUCACCCGCUCCA
Molecule: transfer RNA, 74 nt
Filed under: Clostridiaceae bacterium
Lineage: Bacteria; Bacillati; Bacillota; Clostridia; Eubacteriales; Clostridiaceae
Description: tRNA-Gly
Rfam family: tRNA
About the family: Transfer RNA (tRNA) molecules are approximately 80 nucleotides in length. Their secondary structure includes four short double-helical elements and three loops (D, anti-codon, and T loops).
Source: RNAcentral